RNAcentral lists this ribosomal RNA (222 nucleotides) under uncultured bacterium. RNAcentral describes it as "partial 16S ribosomal RNA". It matches the Rfam family "Bacterial small subunit ribosomal RNA", at positions 109 to 334 of the family's 1533-position model. The record is from RNAcentral.
AGUAAUGUCUGGGAAACUGCCUGAUGGAGGGGGAUAGCUGCUGGAAACGGUAGCUAAUACCGCAUAACGUCGCAAGACCAAAGAGGGGGACCUUCGGGCCUCUUGCCAUCGGAUGUGCCCAGAUGGGACUAGCUAGUAGGUGGGGUAACGGCUCACCUAGGCGACGAUCCCUAGCUGGUCUGAGAGGAUGGCCAGCCACACUGGAACUGAGACACGGUCCAG